This 462-nucleotide ribosomal RNA is filed under the name uncultured bacterium. Its description in RNAcentral is "partial 16S ribosomal RNA". It matches the Rfam family "Bacterial small subunit ribosomal RNA", at positions 28 to 507 of the family's 1533-position model. The record is from RNAcentral.
GACGAACGCUGGCGGCGUGCUUAACACAUGCAAGUCGAACGGAAAGGCCCUUCAGGGUCCUCGAGUGGCGAACGGGUGAGUAACACGUGGGUGAUCUGCCCUGCACUUUGGGAUAAGCCUGGGAAACUGGGUCUAAUACCGAAUAGGACCACGCGCUUCAUGGUGUGUGGUGGAAAGCUUUUGCGGUGUGGGAUGGGCCCGCGGCCUAUCAGCUUGUUGGUGGGGUAAUGGCCUACCAAGGCGACGACGGGUAGCCGGCCUGAGAGGGUGACCGGCCACACUGGGACUGAGAUACGGCCCAGACUCCUACGGGAGGCAGCAGUGGGGAAUAUUGCACAAUGGGCGCAAGCCUGAUGCAGCGACGCCGCGUGAGGGAUGACGGCCUUCGGGUUGUAAACCUCUUUCAAUAGGGACGAAGCGCAAGUGACGGUACCUAUAGAAGAAGCACCGGCCAACUACGUG